UACAAAGCCUAAUUGCAGAAGAGAAUGCAG
This 30-nucleotide non-coding RNA is filed under the name Rattus norvegicus (Norway rat). Lineage: Eukaryota; Metazoa; Chordata; Mammalia; Rodentia; Muridae. The record is from RNAcentral.